GGGCCCGCACAAGCGGUGGAGCAUGUGGUUUAAUUCGAUGCAACGCGAAGAACCUUACCAGGGUUUGACAUCCUGCGAAUCUCUUGGAAACAGGAGAGUGCCUUCGGGAACGCAGUGACAGGUGGUGCAUGGCUGUCGUCAGCUCGUGUCGUGAGAUGUUGGGUUAAGUCCCGCAACGAGCGCAACCCACGUCUUUAGUUGCCAGCAUUUAGUUGGGCACUCUAGAGAGACUGCCGGUGAUAAACCGGAGGAAGGUGUGGAUGACGUCAAGUCAUCAUGCCCCUUACAUCCUGGGCUACACACGUGCUACAAUGGUAGGUACAGAGGGAAGCCACCCCGCGAGGGGGAGCGGA
This 353-nucleotide ribosomal RNA is filed under the name uncultured bacterium. Its description in RNAcentral is "bacterial SSU rRNA". It matches the Rfam family "Bacterial small subunit ribosomal RNA", at positions 917 to 1271 of the family's 1533-position model. The record is from RNAcentral.